This 230-nucleotide ribosomal RNA is filed under the name uncultured eukaryote. Its description in RNAcentral is "partial 18S ribosomal RNA". It matches the Rfam family "Eukaryotic small subunit ribosomal RNA", at positions 1208 to 1456 of the family's 1831-position model. The record is from RNAcentral.
GGGAAACUCACCAGGUCCAGACAUAAUAAGGAUUGACAGAUUGAUAGCUCUUUCUUGAUUUUAUGGGUGGUGGUGCAUGGCCGUUCUUAGUUCGUGGAGUGAUUUGUCUGCUUAAUUGCGUUAACGAACGAGACCUUAACCUGCUAAAUAGAAGUGUCUAUCUCCGGAUAAGCACCUUUCUUCUUAGAGGGACUUUAUGCGUUUCAGCGUAGGGAAGUUUGAGGCUAAAA